Long non-coding RNA from Oreochromis niloticus (Nile tilapia), 4724 nucleotides. RefSeq lists it as uncharacterized. Lineage: Eukaryota; Metazoa; Chordata; Actinopteri; Cichliformes; Cichlidae. The record is from RefSeq and is a predicted model, not a curated record. The transcript is spliced from 2 exons.
AUCCGUCCCCACCAAUGCCAAAACCAAAUCUACACCCUUGGUAAAAUGUCACGUCAAGACAUCGUUGGCCUUUUUCACAUGUGACAUACAGCUUGUCUGCUUCAGAUUUGGGCUCACUAAUGAAAAUUCUCUUUUAGACUCAGCUGGACAUUUGAAUGUCGAGUUCUUUAGCAGCCUUUGUUAAAGGUUUUGACUGUCAGGUUCUGAUUUUUGUUAAAAUUUUAAAAUAAAAAGCUGUUUGAAUCAUUAUUCCAUCACUGUAAACCGAAACAUGAAAAUCUAAAAUAUUCCACACAGCUUUCUGUGAACCUGUAACCUCAUCUGAGGCGCCUACAUGGAACAACAAAUCUUGGAGGUCCUGAGCUCCAUCCCUGUGGUAUAGCCGCUGCCACAUGGAUGUAACUCUAGAAGACUUAGUAUUAAUGACCAGUGUCCAUGGCCUUCUUGUAAUCCACUUACUGUCGUCACACAGGGUCGGCAUGGCUACUGCUGCAGGGCUCUCAUACCCUAGCUGGACACGGUGCUACAUUCCAUUUGAGUGGUGUAUUGCUGGAAGAUGGAGAACCACUGUUUUGCUACUUAAAUUUAUAUUUGGUUCUACAAACUUGUUCAAAAGAGGACGCUGCUAGAAACCCAACAGAAUAAAACAGACUACUAAAAGAAUGCUUCAUUGCAAAGAAAGUGGACACACUUGGAAAGCAGGCAACACUGCAACCAAUUUGUAGCAAACACAAGAUAGUUCCUGACCCAAAGAGCACUCUAACCUUAAAGAUUACAUUUCCAAAUCAGUGCAAUUAAAACUGCUUUAACAGAGGCCAGUAAGACUUGGGGGAGGACCACAGCAAACGUUUAAGAAAAUACAGGUGGACAGCUCUAACAUAGAAAGUGUCUUGGUCCCUUGACCCUUCUAUCGCGCCACAUGUGUAGCAUGAUUUCUUCAUCUGCAAGAACCCUCAUGAUGAACUUUUACCCCUUAUUCUAAUUUUCAAACAUGCGCAGAGUUAAUUUAGCCUGCACAGCUCCAUCAUCAGUGUAUACAUACACUGCCCUGUGUUAAUGAAUGGCCGACUGCACAAUGACUGAGACAUGCUGUUAUGAUUUCCACACAUUCUCAUCAGGGUGAAAAUGCAUUUUCAUGCCAAAAGAGAAUGAAGAGCAUCCCCUGUUCACUUCUCACUCUCCACCCUCAGGUUCCUAAAGCACUGUGACUGAGAAAUACGUCUAACGGUAGCAUGCCCCAAAGACCCUUUGCCCACAGACAUGAGGUAAUGGUGAGGCUAAUUAGGCUGAGGAGACAGUGUUGGCGGAAGCUCCUGGCCUGAAGCCCCAUUAGUCUAGAGUACAGUCUCCCAAUGGUCAAGGGCAUUUACUCUGGGAUGAGGAAAGCAGAGCAGCGUCCCAGGCUGGCUCCUAUGGUAAAGCCACGGUGAUGGACUGAGUCACCACAUGAAAGACUGGGCACAGGGACGAUAGUGGAACGAAAGAGAAAAAGGAGACCCAGAGAGAAAGGCUCAUUCAGGAAAAAGAUGGAGAAUCUCAGCGGGACUCCUCUUCCUUCUUACGCACAAGGCAUUCUUCUGAUGCUCAUGAUGUACAGUUUGUUAUGUUACAGAGGCAGGACGUAUCUCAUUGAGCCCCAUUUAGGAUAUUGGCCUCAACACAGUCAUUUUAAGGCAGUAAAUCAAAAUGAUUGCAGCACAUAUUGUAAAGCGAGGCAGAGGCAUUUUGCUUUAACAGUUCCAGAAUCAGGGACAUUCAGGGAACCUCUGUGACACAUCGCUGGGCUCGGGAUGGGCUUUCUGACUUUUGCAAUGUUUCUCCUCCUUCUUGCACUGGUCAUAAUCUGCUAAACAGUGGGUUCAGUUAAUGCAUGGAUUUAUGGACAUGAAAAUAAAUAUAUCAAGCACAUCAAAAGAUUUGUGAGAUUUUACUGCAGUGCAACAGAGCAAUAUUAAUCUUAGGGAUUUAAAGAAAAAGCGGAAUUUUGCUUCUUAUAAAUCCUCAGAUUCAUUACAAGUUCUGUUUAAAUGAGGAAUAGAGAGGGAGCAAGUGCCUGUUCAUGCCUGAGCUGGUGAAGGCACUGCUUGGCCUUUUACUCACAUGGCAGCUCACUUCUCAAGGAAUAUCAAAGAAAGAUGAUUAAAGAGAAUGAAAAAGAUUAGUUACCUUAAAUCAGUCAGGGGCUACAGGCGGACUUUUAUGACUUUUAUAUGAAGAUUUAUGAACUCAACUCAUUCUUUGCUACUACUUACAGAACUGCACGGCCACUUACUUUUUUAUUUCUUCAUCAUAUACGUAGACCUGUAUGUAUAUACAUAGUAUUUUUCAGUAUUACAUCAUCGCUCUUCUAAAGUACCUUGGCAUAUGUGGCUGUUUCUCCUCCCUUUGUUAUCCACUUUCAUAGGAAACCUAAUCUGUGAACACAUGUUUCUGGCCUCCAGAGCUGGAAGUGAAUAAAGCACAGCAUCUGGGCAGAUUCCACCUCCUCAUCACUCUGAAAAUGGUGUGGGCUCCUUUAGGUUCAUGCUAACUGCAUCGAGGAACCAGGAAGCAAAACAGUAUGUCAGUCACUACCUCUCAUGACACAGCAUCAAGGAGCUCAUCGUUUGUUACUGACAAAUGUCUCGGGGGUGUGGGGAGCAACUUUCCUUUCUAGGGGAACUGUAGUGCUAUCAAAACAUUGCUUGUCAGCUUCAAGUCAGGCAGAGUCAAAUAAACAUUUUGGGAAAAAAUGGAGCAGAUGAGAUAGUAGGUGAAUAAAGACAUGAACUGGAGUAUGCCGAGUAAAACCAUGUUAUGCAACAAGACCUUAGAUAAAAGCUAGGUAACAGCUAGGCUGCUUCACGUCUGUGACAGUCUCUACCCUAGAGAUGGUUGCUAAAAUGAUGUAGAGCACUGGAGCGCUUUUCAUAUUACAUAUCACAGUUUAGUAUUUGUACCCUGGACAACUCGGGGUGACAAACAUAGCUCACUGAACUCGAUAGCUUUUGGAGAGAAAAACUUUGCUUAUUUGACCAUUCGUUCACUGAGACUGUGUUUAGCCUGGGGAGCAUGGAGGGUUAGUGUCAUAUUACUGUAUGUAAAAGCAGACUUAGAGUAUAUAUGUUUCUCUGUUAUCCUAAUUAGGAAGAAGAAGUAAGUGGAAGACAUUUAAAAGAAGCAAUGUGUGGACUAACUACUUCCUCCCUUUGGCCUGAUGAGCACUGUGGAAAAGAGGAAACAUUAAGGCUAGGGAACCUGAUUUGGAUCUGUGAGGGAUUUCUUUGGAACAUCAUCAAGCGGAGGCCUGCUGAAUCCUCCAGUGCAUUGCAAGCUGAACUUCUCAAGAGCCCCCCUUUACCACCCCCACUGACUCCACCCUUUCACAACCUUGGUUCUCAAAGGUCCAGUCACAUCUGAGUUAGUAAUUUGGCACACAUCUAUAGCUGGACGCUGGGGUGUAAAUAGAUUACACUUGCCUGGAGUUUUCCUGAAUGAAAUAUGAAUGGAUUUUUUCCUGAGACUUAUAUUCUAGCAAACAAAGAAUAUAGCUGGAAUUUAGCUAAAUAAGUCCACUUGAUUUUAAAGACAUAAAGGGCAAUCAGCUCAUCCCAGAAUUGAGAAGAAAGCAAAAUCUGAAGCUACAAGACUUGUAGCAAUGUUGAUAAUAGAGUCAGACUAAGUGGCUAGUUGUGUUGGAAAUCAAUAUCCCAGAUCUUAACGCUAUGUUAAUCUAUGAUCAAAGCUUACCAAGAAAAGUGCUGGUUUAAAAAUGAGUAAGAGAGGCCUGGAGUGAGUGACUCAAAUGAACAAUCAACUCCUAAUAGUCAUAAAAUCAGAUCCAGCUACUUAAGUUAAAAUCCUGGUAGUGUACUUUGAUAAAGCUUUUUUAUGCUAGUAAAAAUAAGGACUCCACUCUAAUAAAACAUAGUUGUCAAUAGUUUCCUCUACCUGACAUCCAAGAGUGUCCAGUUUUGGAACUUCAAAUGAUAAAGAUGCAAUGCUUUUGAAUGGACAUUACAACACCAAAAAACACAACUGUGUGUGCUCUGUAAGAAAAAAAAAACUAGACUGGAGUGAUGAGAUCAAAACACUAGAUUGAAAAAAGAGAUUCUAGUGAAAGAAGCUAUCAGAGAGAUGGUUCCAGCUAAGAUAAUGUUAAAGUCACAAUAAUUGUAUAUUAAAUGUAUUUAAUAAAAAAAAAACUACUAGCGGAUAUUGGAAAAUAUAUUAAUUACUUUUAAAAUAAACUACACUUAUUGCCCUUUCUCAAAAGUGUACCUGACAGUGCUUUGCUUGGAAUAACAGUCAUGGAAGAGUUUAGAUGUACAAAAGUCUAGUAGGACAGAAGGUAAGCAUGUUUUCCUUUCUCCUCUUUUCCCUGGUGCUGUGCUCUAUUACAGACAAACACAUGUAAGUUGUCCACAAAGAAGAAAUACAUCAAUCCCUUUGGUUUCUAAUGGUCUAAUGUCAGAAAACCACUAAAGAUGGAGUCCUGGUUGGCCGGAUUACUGAUGUGCUGGCAGGACUGCUGGUGCUACGAUGGUCCAAACUUGUUCCACAUUCUGGUUUGCACCAAGGAGCUCCAAGUUGUGGCCAUGGUUGUGUGACCCAGACUGAGACCCUGAUCAAUUUCCAAGUCUUAGAUUCUGGAAAGAAGCCUGCAGCCACAACCCGAUCACAUCUGGUCAGACCUGGAGCUUCCAGACCACAGCUGAGGUCUAAAUCCAACCUGAUCCCAGGCA